UUCUCUGUAAACAGGCGCCAUGUUGAGUAUUACAAACUUUCCUGUUCACAUUUGAACCAGCGACCUGUCUUCUCCCUUAAUAUCUCAGCCUUCAAGCAGUUAGCUGCCUGACCAGAUAAUCUUAACUAAACGCGUACUGUGUCCUAUUACGACUUUCUUUUUGUUGUUUUAGGAGAACAGAGUGCCUGCCCUGGGUGAUGACCCCAGUGUAUUCCACUUCUCGAUGAGCAUCCAGCUGAAACCAGUGCUCCUUCUCCUCACUGUCUGCACACCAGCCCCCUCCGUAAACAUCAUCCUCGUCAUCUGAGCUCUGGAAAAACAGAACAAUAUGUAAAUAUGUAAUAGAAAUAGCAACAAAACACUGCAGCGAUGACUCUGACUAAAUGACUCCAGCUUGAGAACUGCCUUUUGGGAGCAGAAGACCAUUUGCAGUGUGGACAGGAUGGAGUGGGAGCCAGCAGCGAUGGCCUCUUAAAACAACCUAACACAGAGACUCAGUCAGGGCCCACAAAAUUAACACAGGUCUCCCUCCAGUUGGACAGGAAAGAGGUUGUGGGGGGAAGCACAGCUCAGUACUGACAUUUACUGCAGUUUGCUCAGGCGGCUUAACUAUAACCUUUAAAAAAAAGCACGUGUCUCAAAUACCUCAUAAAAUAUACAUCAUAUACAGCCUAUGUUCACCACAGUCAUUGUUCUUUCUCCUUUUU
Molecule: long non-coding RNA, 707 nt
Organism: Pygocentrus nattereri (red-bellied piranha)
Lineage: Eukaryota; Metazoa; Chordata; Actinopteri; Characiformes; Serrasalmidae
Exons: 3
Source: RefSeq, a predicted model, not a curated record